CUUUAAAGAGGACUGGGGGAGGGCACUUUCUGGGGAGAAGUGCUGUUUUGGGAGCACUGGAAGGAAGGGAGGCAGGUGACUUGCAGGAGCAGACUCAAGGCUAUCCACAAGUGGAAACAAAAGGAAGAAAUAUUCUGUUCCCACAGACUGUCAGCUCAGUUGCCUUGGGUCAAGGACACAGCCUGUUGGAGAAAGGAGAAGUGUAGGGAUUUGGAGGACAGGGAGCCUAGUAAGUAGGAAAGCAGCCAACUGACUUCCCUAUUAGUCAUGGCUUCUCUCCAGCAGACAAAGGAUGCACUUGUUUUCUUGGAGGAGUUCAGGAGACCACUGUCCUCAGCACUGAUUUCCAUUUGUCAGCAAGCCCAGGAGCCUUCCAGGCUGUGGGUGGCAGAGCCUCAGAUUUUGCCUCUAGCAUGGAAUGUCUGAAGGGGGCUGGAUUGGAAAUCAGAAGGACUCCAUCCUAUCCAGCUCAGCUCUGUGAGCCACAAAUGCCUCCAAGCCUCAGAUCCCCCAAUUCCCACCCCAAAAGAGCUGCCUGCUCUCCAGGGUGAAUCUUCUCCCUACUUCCCUGGGGAGGGGGUAUUGGAAAGCUCCUUUGAGUUGGGUCUGCUCUCAUGACCUAGCUAUAAGUAUUUUUUGUGUCAAAAAGCAGCAGAAUCAUUCUCUUUGAUGUUUUGCUAUUUAUUAACUAGGAGGUAAAAUUGAGAUUAUUCCAAAACUUCAAAACCUUUUUAAUUUUGGAUGCAAAACAUAAUUUCCGUAAAUCUAUUAAUUUCCCUGAAUUGGGUCUAGCAAUUUAUUUUUUCUGGUCUGUUUAUGCUCCUGACCCCUUCCAAUCCCCUUUUAAGUCCUAGAAAGUCUAGCACCUUAAGGCCUCACAAAUCCCAUGACUUUUUUGCAAACACUCUUGAAGAUAUAAUCUUCAUAAUAAAAUUCAAUUUGAUUGUGUUAUUUAAUAUUGUCUGAAGGCAUCAUGGAUGACUUAUUGAUUUUUCAAAAUUAAAACUAAGAACAAAGAGAAACCCACCCAAUUGUUUGCAGCCCAC
This 1046-nucleotide long non-coding RNA is filed under the name Cricetulus griseus (Chinese hamster). RNAcentral describes it as "lncRNA (ENSCGRG00015033730.1)". Lineage: Eukaryota; Metazoa; Chordata; Mammalia; Rodentia; Cricetidae. The record is from RNAcentral.